This is a long non-coding RNA of Oncorhynchus tshawytscha (Chinook salmon), 2280 nucleotides long. Lineage: Eukaryota; Metazoa; Chordata; Actinopteri; Salmoniformes; Salmonidae. The record is from Ensembl.
GGGGGCAGAGAGAGGGGCAGAGAGAGUGGUGGCUCUCCUGUUGCUCUUUUCAUAAGUGUCUCUUUAUAAUUCAGCUGGAGUCUAUGAGUCUAUGAAGUGUCUGUGCUCAGACCAGCUCAGGCUGAGCUGCACUGUACUGGGCUGUACUUUACUGGGCUGUACUGGGCUAUACUUUACUGGGCUGUACUGGGCUGUACUGGGCUGUACUGGGCUGUACUAGACUGUACUGGGCUGUACUGGGCUGUACUAGACUGUACUGGGCUGUACUAGACUGUACUGGGCUGUACUGGGCUGUACUAGACUGUACUGGGCUGUACUAGACUGUACUAGACUGUACUAGACUGUACUAGACUGUACUGGGCUGUACUAGACUGUACUGGGCUGUACUAGACUGUACUAGACUGUACUAGACUGUACUGGGCUGUACUGGGCUGUACUAGACUGUACUAGACUGUACUGGGCUGUACUAGACUGUACUAGACUGUACUGGGCUGUACUAGACUGUACUAGACUGUACUGGGUUGUACUAGACUGUACUGGGCUGUACUAGACUGUACUGGGCUGUACUAGACUGUACUGGGCUGUACUAGACUGUACUAGACUGUACUGGGCUGUACUAGACUGUACUGGGCUGUACUAGACUGUACUGGGCUGUACUAGACUGUACUAGACUGUACUAGACUGUACUGGGCUGUACUAGACUGUACUAGACUGUACUGGGCUGUACUAGACUGUACUGGGCUGUACUAGACUGUACUAGACUGUACUAGACUGUACUGGGCUGUACUAGACUGUACUAGACUGUACUGGGCUGUACUAGACUGUACUGGGCUGUACUAGACUGUACUAGACUGUACUGGGCUGUACUAGACUGUACUAGACUGUACUGGGCUGUACUAGACUGUACUGGGCUGUACUAGACUGUACUAGACUACUAGACUGUACUGGGCUGUACUAGACUGUACUAGACUGUACUGUGCUGUACUGGGCUGUACUGGGCUGUACUAGACUGUACUAGACUGUACUGGGCUGUACUGGACUGACUGGACUGACUGGACUGACUAGACGGUGGAAUAGAGGCAGUAGUUAUACAGCAGUAUUGCUGGACUGACUGGACUGACUAGACGGUGGAAUGGAGGCAGUAGUUAUACAGCAGUAUUGCUGGACUGACUGGACUGACUAGACGGUGGAAUAGAGGCAGUAGUUAUACAGCAGUAUUGCUGGACUGACUGGACUGACUAGACGGUGGAAUAGAGGCAGUGGAAUGAAUGAGGGGAGUUAUUCCAACACAGAAGAACUCAUGCUAGGAAGGGAGAACCCCAGACAUCUCCAGCCAAAGGUACAGUAGUGAUCCCUCUGGCUUUCUCUGAAGUAUCUCUGUGACACACAUACUGAGAGGGAGUGAGCUAGCUGAGUGCAGCCACAAGGCAUGGCAAUGAGGAGAAACUAGAUACAAGGAGGAAUUGGCUGGUCCCCUGUGAGUCCUGAGUGGUGUAGAGAUGGACAGCUGGACCCUACGGGGGGACAGCUACUCCUUCCUCCGCAGCAGCGCUCCUCGCGUCUUCUCUCUGCGCCACCGUGACGGAACCCCGAACCACGUGGAGAUCUUCGACAUCACCAACAUCCCCAGCCAACGCUCAGCCAUCUCUGAGACCACCUGCCUCUGUGACAUCUUUGGGGACGACUGUGAGUCACUUUCCAGUAACCCAGCUACAGGGGCCUUCGUCCACCCUCCCGUCCCCCCACCCAGGAGGGAGGCAGCAGGGCCAGGUCAGAGCUCAGAGUCGCCCCCAGUGUUGCCCUGCGUGGUGGAUGAGCUGAACAACUCGACAAGUUCUUACCACACAGCACCAGAGAGAUUUGAGGAUUCUACAGAGAAGCUCAGUCCUCCAACGCAGAGGGAGAAUAAUUAUACUUUAUCUGAAGGCUGGGAGUCAGGAGCAUUAGCUACUGCACUAAACAACUCAUCAUCAUCGUGGACAUCUAAGAACAUCAGUCCAACACUAGAACAAGGAAACACAGCACCAACACCUGGAUGGAGGACAGAUGACUCCUCACCUGACAUGCCUAGCCUUACCUUUAACACUACAACACCUUCACCUGGCUACAGUAAUACUACAACACCUUCACCUGGCUACAGUAACACUACAUCACCUUCACCUGGCUACAGUAACACUACAUCACCUUCACCUGGCUACAGUAAUACUACAACACCUUCACCUGGCUACAGUAAUACUACAACACCUUCACCUGGCUACAGUAACACUACAACACCUUCAC